RNAcentral lists this ribosomal RNA (330 nucleotides) under uncultured eukaryote. RNAcentral's name for it is "partial 18S ribosomal RNA". It matches the Rfam family "Eukaryotic small subunit ribosomal RNA", at positions 1470 to 1796 of the family's 1831-position model. The record is from RNAcentral.
CCCUUAGAUGUUCUGGGCCGCACGCGCGCUACACUGUUCGACGCAGCGAGUCUUAACCUUGACCGGAAGGUUUGGGUAAUCUUCAGCAAAGUCGAACGUGAUGGGGAUCGAUCAUUGCAAUUAUUGAUCGUGAACGAGGAAUUCCUAGUAAGUGCAAGUCAUCAGCUUGCGCUGAUUACGUCCCUGCCCUUUGUACACACCGCCCGUCGCUACUACCGAUUGAAUGAUCCGAUGAAUACCAUGGAUUGAGAGUACGAAUGGGUUCGCUCAUUUCUGCUGCUCGAGAAGUGGAGUAAAUCUUAUCAUUUAGAGGAAGGAGAAGUCGUAACA